This 2536-nucleotide long non-coding RNA is filed under the name Mustela putorius furo (domestic ferret). RNAcentral's name for it is "lncRNA (ENSMPUG00000027001.1)". The record is from RNAcentral. Lineage: Eukaryota; Metazoa; Chordata; Mammalia; Carnivora; Mustelidae.
GCUGGACUUGGCGUUCUACCCUACUCAUUCCACAGACUGUUCCUGGGGCCAGCCCACCCUUGUCUGCUCCUUUCCUUUUCUCCUUAACCCUCCCACACCACUUAAACCCCACUGCUUUGCCCUCUAAGUCCCAAGUCACGUCUGAUUUUCAUCUUUUCAUUCCACUCCGAUCCUUCCUCUGCUCUCAGGUGACUUACCGCACUGACCUUCUGCUGAUCUCACUGGCUCCAGCCACCAGCCAUGAUCCUAAGUCUUCACCAUGAGCAACGCUCACGCACAGGCAGAAAGAGCCCACGGGUUCUUAUGAGGAUUAAGAAAAGGACCAACUUGCAAGUGGCUGACAAAUGUGCUUGCGUGACAGGGUGAUCCUGCUCAGAACACGCCCUGCUGGCUGGGGUUAGAGUCCUUCCUAACUGGGGCCCCAAUCUUUCCAGCCACCUGUCCACUAGAUUCCCCACUUCUGUGCCCCUCACCAAAUGCUACUGGAACAAAUCUUGCUAUUUGCCAUCACUGCGUCCUGGCUUCAAACUGGCGUGUUCUGUUAGUGAAACCAGGACACCAUGAGACUGAGGUGGCUGAAACCAGGACACCAGGAGACUGAGGUGGCUCUAAUGCCUUAACCUAGGUCAGCAAACCCAAAAUCAAGCCCGUAAAUGCGUCCAGGUUAAGAAACGGAAACCUAAGUUCAAAGGAUGGGAACAGACAGCAAGACUUUCUCACAUACGGUGUCCCUUUUAAGCAAUGGCCUAUCAGGACUUCCCUUGCUUUGCUUCCUACAGCUUCUCUAUGAAAACCUCGCCCUGGUUGGUCGACCCCUUCCAACCACUUCCGGUUUGGCACUUCCUGAUUCCAAUCGAGGUUUGUUCAAAUAAACUCGAAAAUGUUAACAUGUCCCAGUUUACCUUUUCACGGUUCCUUCAGCGUGGAAGCCUUUUCCUCCUUCCGUCUGCUUGCCAGAGUUCUUCUGCACGCUCAAGCUAGGCGAAACCUCACCUCCUCCAAAGAGCCUGUGCCCGGACUGAGUCACUCCUUCCCUCCCUUGUCAGCGCAUCACACGGAGUCUGCGCAGCUGUGUCUGGGUGGCUGGAAUGGGAGCAUGACAGCUGAAGCUCAAGGAACCAUCCUGAACAGAGAGGUGGAAGACUGUGGUGAAAAUGACAGAACAUCAAGAGAAAUGUUUCCUGGGUCUUUGAUAAUUAAUGAGCACCAUGCCAACCUAUACUGUUUCUCUCCAGACUUACUUCAUAAGAAAGAGGAAUACAUUCAUACCUUGUUUAAUACAACAUUUGAUCUCUGGAAAUGGCUUUUUGCACGUCAGAAAUCAGCUGAAGGACACUGCCUGCACGGUUUCCAAGGCUAUUAAGUAAGCCUCCAUUCAACUGAGCCAUUUUGAACUGGCUUCAGAGUACAAAAACCCGAAAAUCGAAGACCAUUAAAACAAUGCCUGGAAGAAUUCUGAUGGGUUCUUCAGUAAUAGUGGUCACUUGGGUUCUGGAGUCUCGACAUAUCCUUCCUCCAGCCCUUAAAGUCAACAUGGAACACAAAAUCACAUGUGCCCCGAGCCUGCAACAUUGCUAGGAGACAGGUCUCUCAACAAACUCCAAAACGUAAAAAGAGCAACAAGCACCAAAUUUCAGCAGAGAUGCUGUGGGAGUGCUUGUGGGGUGGGGAGAAGGGGGAGGGAAAUCCUGCCACUGUGUGGAGGGGGCCACCAGGAAAGUCUAGGACAGUGAGCAGACCAGAUCCUUAAAAGAGAUGGCUUCCAGAGCAAAAGAGAUAAAGAUAUGCCAAAGAAGGGAAGAAAAGCAUUUAGAGGCAUGAGGAUUGGAAGAGAAAAGUUUUACUUCUUUUUCCUUUUGUGUGAUUGAUGCUAAUAUAACUGGAAAUUAAAUAAUCAGUGCUUGCCCCAAUGCAAAAAAUGAAAGAAUCCAACAAUGGAGCAGGUUGUACUGUUGCCUUGUGUGAAACCAAUCCCUUUGAAGGGCAUAUCACUCCUUGGAUAUUCUGCCCCCAAACCUACAACCCCAGUCUGGUUUCAAGAAAAAUAUUAGACCCAAAUUGAGAGGCAUUCAGCAAAAUGCCCAACUAGUACUCCCCAAAACUGUCAUCGUCAUGAACUAUAAGGAAAGGUCAAACAAUUGUCACAGACCAGAGGAGGCUAAGUGGAAACACGACUGCUAAGUGGACCAUAGCAUUAUGGGCGGGAUCCCGGAAUGGGAAGAGGACAUUGGGGGAAAAGCUAGUGAUACUCCGACAGCAGUGUAAAAAUGUUGGUGUUUUAGUUUAGACAAAGGUAACAUCAUAAUUGUGAGAUAUUCACCUUGGGGGAAACUGGGUGAACUGGGUAUGUUGUAACUCCGUUCUGUUGUAAGUUUUCUAUAAAUCAGACUAUUCUCAAAUUAAAAUUUUGUGUUCAAAAGAAUAAAUAGCCUUCCUGUAUACAAAUAAUAACCAGUUAUAGGAGAACCCCUAGGUACAAUAACCUCAAACACAUUAAAUACUUGUGCAGAAUCUAAAUGAAUAAAACAAUAAAAAU